Molecule: small nucleolar RNA, 111 nt
Filed under: Arabidopsis suecica
Lineage: Eukaryota; Viridiplantae; Streptophyta; Magnoliopsida; Brassicales; Brassicaceae
Description: sno_ncR1
Rfam family: Small nucleolar RNA ncR1
Source: RNAcentral
GACAUGGACGAUCUGAAUCGCUGAGAUUGUAAACGUUGUUGUAUGGAAUCCUACAUUUGAGAUGUUGGUAGUUAGAGGAGGUCUCAUCUUUGCGUUAGAAAGAGAGACGCA